GUUAGUUUAGCAGCGAUGAUAUGAUAAUGAAAUUAUAAUAAUAAAUUAUCUUCGUUUUUUUGUGCAAAUGGGGCUCUUUUUAUGAAACUAUUUAUGCUACUAUGAUUACAACACUGUAAUCUCACACCGUCUUUCAAGACAUUAUUUCACUCUAUACUUCUAACUCUUGGUCGCAAUAUCUAGCGCAGCUCUCUUCUCCAUAAAAUUAUCCGUCAUUCUUUUACAAAUUUACUAUGAACUUUCAUCUCAAUUAUGUUGUUUUCCAAAGAAACAUUACCAUCGUAAUUUGUAUGGAUCCUCUACCUAAAGGUAAGUUACACAAUCAAUAAGGUGUACAAUGGGCUUAUAUAUCUUCCUUUUUUAUAUUUUUAUACGCUUUUCUUUCUUUCCCUUUAAUGUUUGCUUAUAAAAUUAGCUAUAAAGCAACAAACUGCAAUCUGAAUGUAGAACUAAUUCACUAAUCAAUGCAAAACAUAUAUAAGCAAAGACGGACUACAACACAGCCAAACGAUCCUAAAAUCCACAAAUAUGCGACCAACAAUAACAGAUAAAUCUGAAUCAUAAUAAAUUGACAAAAUAAACAGUAAGAUAUUUGUACCAAUAAAGAAACCUACAAUCUAAGCUUUGAACUUUAAUCCCAUUAAUAGAUUUUAUUCAGCUAUCGAAGAAAAUUACUAAAAAUUGAAAAGAUUAAAGUUUAUUGGAGCAAACAUUGCACAUACGUAUAUAUAAGGAGAGAGAAUUGACUUUUGCCAGUGAAAUUUAGCAGUGGCUCCGUAAAACUUUGAAUCUGAGGUCGAUCUCGUCAUCUCCGGAGAGGUCUAAGUUUGUUGGUCGGGCUAUUGGAGCAAUAGUGAUAGUAAUUUUGGGGGGUUAAAUACACUUUUCGUCACUCUACUCGACUCCGGUUUACAAAUACAUCACUGAACUCAAAAUUUUUACGGUCAACUCAUUGAACUAUAAUUUCUUUACAAAAAUCCGAAAAAUCGUCUACUCUGUUAAAAUAUUAACGGAAAAUUUAUGUGGCACAUGUAUAAUAAGCUGACAAGGAGAGAGAAUUUGAGUUGGAUAAUGAUUUAAAUUAAAAUAUACACAAUUCUAUAACAAAUAAUUAAAAGGAAGAUAUCCUUUUAAUUAUUCUCCAUUUCUCUCUCCUCUUCAACUAACAUAUUCUCCAUUUCUCUCUCCUCUUCAAAAGGAAGAUAUCCACAUCCAAAGGCAGAAAAAGUGAAACGGGUGGGGAGAGCCUUUUCACCUUUCCAAUUUUUCUCACCUCGACUGAAGAGAGAGAAAGUGAAGAAAAACACAGUCUAGAGACAUGGAAAUUAAGCAACAUAUGCACAAGGAGGAGGUGGAUAAAUAAAGAUCGGAUCAGUAUUUCAAUUUUUUGAUGGUAGAUCUGAUCGAAAGGGAAAGGAGGAAGAGGGCGGUUAGAUCAGAAAUCUGGCAGAAAGGAGGAAGAUGACGUUUCUCCUUUUCAAAUACAGAAAUCGUGGCGUUUCAUCCACUUUAUUACUUGAUCUGUUUAUCGUGGUAGAUGAUCCACUUCUCGGCGACGAGGAGGACGUCGGCGAUGGCCGAGAUCAGAUCUGUUGGGUCAAAUUAAUUUGUUGGUUCUGAGCUGAUUCACUAUGUUUGGUGCUUAAUUCUUUUAGUGGAAUCAGUUUGGUGUUAAUCUGGUUAUUUUAGUCGAUUAUUGUUAUUGUUUUGAAACUGAUUGAUUGGUUUAUUGUUGGGUUUUUUUGAAUUUCUUCCCCCAUCUCGCCGGCAACAAUGGCGACUACUUUUGAACACGCCGGAAUUUGGGUUUGUUCGGUGCAAAUUAGUUCUUGUUUUUGGUUUUGGGGUUUUCUGUUUUGUGUGGAUUAUUCUGUAUCGAUCGGAUAAUAUCGCUGGAAUCUGGGUUUUUUAGUUUAGUUGAAUGAUGAAUGUGAUAAUUUUGCCCCUGUAGCUACUAAAUGAAUGAUAAGUUUUAAUUUGUUUUUUUAGUUUGAUUUUAAUUGCCCAAAUUUUUUGUUUUUACCGUAAGACCCUAAC
Molecule: long non-coding RNA, 2037 nt
Filed under: Panax ginseng (ginseng)
Lineage: Eukaryota; Viridiplantae; Streptophyta; Magnoliopsida; Apiales; Araliaceae
Description: long non-coding RNA (PGIN_LNC008231)
Source: RNAcentral